This 21-nucleotide microRNA is filed under the name Corchorus olitorius. RNAcentral describes it as "hvu-miR504". Lineage: Eukaryota; Viridiplantae; Streptophyta; Magnoliopsida; Malvales; Malvaceae. The record is from RNAcentral.
AGUUAAAAUGGAUCGGAGGGA